This 397-nucleotide ribosomal RNA is filed under the name uncultured bacterium. RNAcentral's name for it is "partial 16S ribosomal RNA". It matches the Rfam family "Bacterial small subunit ribosomal RNA", at positions 523 to 918 of the family's 1533-position model. The record is from RNAcentral.
AUACGUAGGGGGCGAGCGUUGUCCGGAAUGAUUGGGCGUAAAGGGCGCGUAGGCGGCCCGGUAAGUCUGGAGUGAAAGUCCUGUUUUUAAGAUGGGAAUUGCUUUGGAUACUGUCGGGCUUGAGUGCAGGAGAGGUAAGUGGAAUUCCCAGUGUAGCGGUGAAAUGCGUAGAGAUUGGGAGGAACACCAGUGGCGAAGGCGACUUACUGGACUGUAACUGACGCUGAAGCGCGAAAGUGUGGGGAGCAAACAGGAUUAGAUACCCUGGUAGUCCACACUGUAAACGAUGAAUGCUAGGUGUAGGGGGUAUCGACCCCUUCUGUGCCGCAGUCAACACAAUAAGCAUUCCGCCUGGGGAGUACGGCCGCAAGGUUGAAACUCAAAGGAAUUGACGGGG